GUACUUCUUUCUCAGACCAACGUAGGCCUACCUAGCAAAUUUAGCUAACGUUAUCCACUUUUCAACAUUGUUUUUUAAGAGUGUUUAGUCACGAUUGCUGCUGAUGGAUCACGUCAAAUUGGCUAGCCAGCUAAUAACAGAUCUAACCUAGUGGUUAGAGCGACAGGUGACCUAGUGGUUAGAGCGGCAGGUAGCCUAGUAGUUUGAGCUUUGGGGCGGCAGGUAGCCUAGUGGUUAGAAUGUUGGGAGGCAGGUAGCCUAGUGGAUAGAAUGUUGGGGAGGCAGGUAGCCUAGUAGUUAGAGCAUUGCGGAGGCAUGUAGCCUCGUGGUUAGAGCGUUGGGGAGGCAGGUAGCCUAGUUGUUAGAGCGUUGGGGUGGCAGGUAACCUAGAGCGUUGAGGUGGCAGGUAGCCUAGUGGUUAGAGCAUUGGUGUGGCAGGUAGCCUAGUGGUUAGAGCGUUGGGGAGGCAGGUAACCUAGUGGUUACAGCGUUGGUGUGGCAGGUAACCUAGAGCGUUGGGGCGGCAGGUAGCUUAGUGGUUAGAGCGCUGGGGCGGCAGGUAGGCUAGUGAUUAGAGCGUUGGGGCGGCAGGUAGGCUAGUUGUUAGAGCGUUGGGGAGGCAGUUAAUCUAGUGGUUGGAGCAGCAGGUAGCCUAGUGGUUAGAGAGGCAGGUAACCUAAUGGUUAGAAUGACAGGGCGGCAGGUAGCCUAGUGGUUAGAGCGUUGGGGAGCCAGGUAGCCUAGUGGUUAGAGCGUUGGGGUGACAGGUAAUCUAGUGGUUAGAUCGUUGGGGUGGCAGAUAGCCUAGUGGUUAGAGUGUUGGGGAGGCAGGUAGCCUAGUGGUGAGGGCGUUAGGGAGGCAGGUAGCCUAAUGGUUAAAGCGUUGGGGUGGCAGGUAGCAUAGUGGUUAGAGCGUUGGGGAGGCAGGUAGCCUAGUGGUUAGAUCGUUGUUGUGGCAGAUAGCCUAGAGCGUUGGGGCGGCAGGUAACCUAGUGGUUAGAGCGGCAGGUAGCCUAGUGGUUAGAGCGUUGGGGAGGCAGGUAGCCUAGUGGUUAGAGCGUUGGGGUGGCAGGUAGCCUAGUGGUUAGAGCGUUGGGGAGGCAGGUAGCCUAGUGGUUAGAGUGUAGGGGAGGCAGGUAGCCUAGUGGUUAGAGUAUUGGGGAGGCAGGUAGCCUAGUGGUUAGAGUGUUGGGGCGGCAGGUAGCCUAGUGGUUAGAGUGUUGGGGAGGCAGGUAGCCUAGUGGUU
Long non-coding RNA from Oncorhynchus tshawytscha (Chinook salmon), 1246 nucleotides. Lineage: Eukaryota; Metazoa; Chordata; Actinopteri; Salmoniformes; Salmonidae. The record is from Ensembl.